CUACUACAACAAUACUGCAGUAUUUCGAGCACAGUAGCUAUUGAGGGACCAACGUGGAAAACAAGGAUGGUUGGUCAUUUAAUGAGCUUUUUAUGAUUUAUUUGGUGGUUUAUGAAGAAAAAAAAAAAGCCAGCUGGGAUUUAAAUAAAAGUGGUCCCAAAAGAAGAGAGAUUGCGACAUGUGGAGGAAGGAGAAAAGUAGGGUUUCUCUAAUUGGAACUCUAACUUUAAAAGAAAAUUCAGCCACCAUUCUAUACCCUCUACAUAUUUUUUUAGCAGCCACCAUUGAAGAAACAAGAGAAUGAAGAAGAAAAAGAGAAAAAAGAAAAGGAGAGAAAGAAAGCACAAAGGAAGAGAGCUUGAAGAUAAUAGUUAUUGAAGACAUUCAUUUCAGCUUGAUUCUCUUUACUCUCUUCUUAAUAUUGAAGGGAGAUGAUAAGACUCAAGAAAAUGAAGUUUAGAAAGAGUUUGAAGUGUUUUAGAAGUCCCUAAACCUGAGGUUCGAGGCUAGAGCGGAAGAAGUUGAAGAAAAAAGAAGAAAAAGGGAAAACAAUCUUAUGGUUGCGGCCUCCAAGAAAGUGGGUAACGGCCGCGGCGAGGAUUUUAAUGACUGCGACCUAUGCUCGAUUUUCUAAAAAAUCACAUUUUAUUACCGCAGCAGUGGACAUCAGUGGCCACGACCUACGACACUUUUUCAACUUUAAUUUUACUUUUUAAUGUAAUUUCAAGGGGACUAUAAAAGGGUUUAGGGCUAACUUUUAGAAUAAGUUUGGAUUACAAAUUUUUGGAGAUUAGAGCGAUAGAGGAUAAGAAAAAACAACAUUCUUUUCCAUUCAAUCUAGUUUUUCUUCUUUUC
Molecule: long non-coding RNA, 855 nt
Organism: Humulus lupulus (European hop)
Lineage: Eukaryota; Viridiplantae; Streptophyta; Magnoliopsida; Rosales; Cannabaceae
Exons: 2
Source: RefSeq, a predicted model, not a curated record